RNAcentral lists this ribosomal RNA (324 nucleotides) under Paenibacillus sp. P13VS. Its description in RNAcentral is "bacterial SSU rRNA". It matches the Rfam family "Bacterial small subunit ribosomal RNA", at positions 1 to 310 of the family's 1533-position model. The record is from RNAcentral. Lineage: Bacteria; Bacillati; Bacillota; Bacilli; Caryophanales; Paenibacillaceae.
UUUAUUGGAGAGUUUGAUCCUGGCUCAGGACGAACGCUGGCGGCAUGCCUAAUACAUGCAAGUCGAGCGGAGUUGAUAGGAAGCUUGCUUCCUUGAUACUUAGCGGCGGACGGGUGAGUAACACGUAGGCAACCUGCCCUCAAGCUUGGGACAACUACCGGAAACGGUAGCUAAUACCGAAUACUUGCUUUCUUCGCCUGAAGGAAGCUGGAAAGACGGAGCAAUCUGUCACUUGAGGAUGGGCCUGCGGCGCAUUAGCUAGUUGGUGAGGUAACGGCUCACCAAGGCGACGAUGCGUAGCCGACCUGAGAGGGUGAUCGGCCA